RNAcentral lists this ribosomal RNA (775 nucleotides) under uncultured Neocallimastigales. RNAcentral describes it as "partial large subunit ribosomal RNA". It matches the Rfam family "Eukaryotic large subunit ribosomal RNA", at positions 20 to 643 of the family's 3401-position model. The record is from RNAcentral. Lineage: Eukaryota; Fungi; Neocallimastigomycota; Neocallimastigomycetes; Neocallimastigales.
CAUCACUACGCUAGAUGCAUAUCAAUAAGCGGAGGAAAAGAAACUAACAAGGAUUCUCCUAGUAACGGCGAGUGAAGCGGGAAGAGCUCAAAUUUGAAAUCUUAAAGGUUUUCCCUUGACGAAUUGUAGUUUAAAGAAGUGUUUUCUGUUGGAGUUUCGGUAAAAGUUCUUUGGAAUAGGACAUCAUAGAGGGUGAGAAUCCCGUAUUUGAUCAUUACUUUCUAGCUGUGUGAUACACUUUCAAAGAGUCGGAUUGUUUGGGAAUGCAGUCCAAAAUGGGUGGUAAACUUCAUCUAAAGCUAAAUAUUGGCGAGAGACCGAUAGCGAACAAGUACCGUGAGGGAAAGGUGAAAAGAACUUUGAAAAGAGAGUUAAACAGUACGUGAAAUUGUCAAAAGGGAAGCGUUUGACACCAGUGUUGUUUUUCCGAAAAUCAAUUACGAAUGUUUUGUUUUUGAGAAGUUAUGACUUCAUCGGCUUGCUUCUUUCUUUACGAAACUUUCUUAAUGCACUUUUCGGUUAACAAGUCAACAUCAAUUUCUUUUGUUGUAAAAGGGUAAGAGGAAGGUGGCUUACGCUUCGGCGUAAGUGUUUAUAGCCUUUUACCUCUGCAAUCGGAGAGAUUGAGGACAGCAGCGUAGACUCUUCGGGGUUAGAUACACUUGUGCUAAGCUAUAGCCUUGUAUAGACAACUUGUUGACUAUGCUCAGUCAUGUAGCUUACUCGCUUGUGCUAUUUUACCUACGCUUAGGAUGUUGAUAUGCAUGACUGAUAU